CAGAAACUAGGCAACUAAGCGGACCAGGUAACCAGAUGCCCAGAUGCCGGGGAGGACGCGACACGCUGGAAGCUGUGAGGAAUCUUGUAGGCGAGGGAUGAGUUCCUGAACGGAGGAAAAUAAAAAGCGCACUUUUUAAAAAGAGAAAAAAAAUAAAAAGAGCUGUGUCAGAAGUGGGAUUCGAACCCACGCCUCCAUUCGGAGACCAGAACACCCGCAGUGUAGGAACUGCUGGCUUCUUGGCUUGAAGGGAGAAGAUUGGAGGCCAGCGCCGGACAGCGAGUUUAUGCAAUCGCUGCCUGUGAACCCCAAAACGCACUUCAGGGAGAGACGAUUGCAGCACGGAGGCUAUGGAGUUGCAGCCGAGCACCGCACCGCAACUCUUGCUCCCCCGCAAACGCACCCAGCGUUCGGGGAACUGCCGGAGGUCAGGCUGCGUUUCCCGCUCCGCUCCGAGCGACCUGGGUUAGGUGAGCGUCGCUCCAGCAGCGGCCGUCCCAACCUCCCUGAGUGCUUUAGCUUGCACAGGGAGGAUCACGCACCGCCCUGCAGAACAAUCAUAGCCCCGCUGGCGGAGGGCCUUCCUCUGAACACCGUCCUCUGAGACCAGCCGUGCUUCCUGUUUUGUCUUUUUGUUUUUGUUUUUUUUUCCCUCUCCCCUCAACUUCUUUCUUCAUCCUUGCCUCCCUAUUUCCUCCACUUACCCCCAACCUUCCCUCUGCCCUGGUGAGCUGAUGAAGGAGUUAAUAAACACAGCUUUGCAACCGG
This is a long non-coding RNA of Apodemus sylvaticus (European woodmouse), 768 nucleotides long. RefSeq lists it as uncharacterized. NCBI's taxonomy places the organism in Eukaryota, Metazoa, Chordata, Mammalia, Rodentia, Muridae. The record is from RefSeq and is a predicted model, not a curated record. The transcript has 2 exons.